CACCAAUCAGGCAUUUAUGGUAGAGUGGCCAGGUGGAAGCCACUCCUCAGUAAAAGGCACAUUAGAGCCUGCUUGGAGUUUGCCAAAAGGCAACUAAAGGACUCACAGACCAUGAGAAGCAAGAUUCUCUGGUCUGAUGAAACCAAGAUUGAACUAUUUUACCUGAAUUCCAAGCGUCAUGUCUGGAGGAAACCUGGCACCAUCCCGACGGUGAAGCUGAGAAAACAUGGUAGUUAUGUCCUGCCCAUGCUGUGGUGGGGCAGCCCUGUGAAGAUCAUCUGCCCUGUCCCCCCAAUCUCUGUCCCCUCAGUACUCUGCUCCCACUUUGGCAUGGCCAUCCAGAUGCAUGGAGGGGAGGAGGUCAUACACACACUACAGGUCAUAGAGAACGGCGAGUGGGUGCCGUUUGUGUCUGAAGAGUGUGCCUACCAAGUGGAGUCCCACUCAGGAGACCUCAUCUUUUAUGUUCCCUUUACAGCCCCAUGUGUGACCGUCGGAAAUGGAGUUCAUCGACUGGUCCUAUUGGACGGCCAGGACUUCAUCCUCUCCUGCCCCUCACACCACCCUCCUCCAUUUCCCUUCUUUCCCUCUCCUCCAUUUUCUCAACCCUUCUCUCCUGGUGACCCGCAGCAGCAGAUACCUGUCCCUGUGACUUUUGCUCCCUCCACCAGCCCUCCCCUUACCUCUCCUCCCAUCACCCCUUAUACUCAACCCCCAGCCCAGGAACAGAUGCCCCAACUUCCUGCGUUCCCCCACUACCGCCCUCAUGGCAUGUAUCACCAAAUUCCCCAUUUCCCUUACGGUGGAGCUGGUUAUCACCCUCCCCUCCACCCUGGUCACAAUCCAUACCCUGGCUCCCAUCAGCUUCUCCCAGGGAGAUACCCAGGCCAGCAGCCCUUCUUCCCCAUGGGGCCUGGGAAUCACCCCUACGGCUCUGGAGACCACCGUGACUCCUUUUUACCUCUCCCCGCCCCUACCCACGAUCCCAUGCUCAGGCUAUUAUAAUGGAAUCACCCCUGGUGUCCACCGUCCUGUUGUCUAUCCUACUCCUCUUACAGCUAUCCGACCACCGCCUCCCGCCGCUUAUACCAAACCUUCUCCUCCCGCCGCUUAUACCAAACCUUCUCCUCCGCCGCUUAUACCAAACCUUCUCCUCCCGCCGCUUAUACCAAACCUUCUCCUCCCGCCGCUUAUACCAAAC
Molecule: long non-coding RNA, 1201 nt
Filed under: Salmo salar (Atlantic salmon)
Lineage: Eukaryota; Metazoa; Chordata; Actinopteri; Salmoniformes; Salmonidae
Description: lncRNA (ENSSSAG00000085401.1)
Source: RNAcentral